UUACUUAUGGUAGUGGUAUUGUAUGUUUCCAUGCUCCUCUCUCCAUUCGUCCUGCCCUCUCCUUCUUACCCCAUCCCCAUGUCCAUCAGUCUGUUCUCUAUGUCUGCAUGCCCAUUGCUGCCCUGCAAAUAGGUUCAUCGGUACCAUCUUUCUAGAUUCC
This is a long non-coding RNA of Cervus elaphus (red deer), 160 nucleotides long. RefSeq lists it as uncharacterized. The transcript has 3 exons. The record is from RefSeq and is a predicted model, not a curated record. NCBI's taxonomy places the organism in Eukaryota, Metazoa, Chordata, Mammalia, Artiodactyla, Cervidae.